RNAcentral lists this ribosomal RNA (253 nucleotides) under uncultured bacterium. Its description in RNAcentral is "partial 16S ribosomal RNA". It matches the Rfam family "Bacterial small subunit ribosomal RNA", at positions 524 to 776 of the family's 1533-position model. The record is from RNAcentral.
UACGUAGGGACCGAGCGUUGUCCGGAAUCAUUGGGCGUAAAGAGCUCGUAGGCGGUUUGUCGCGUCUGCCGUGAAAGUCCGGGGCUCAACUCCGGAUCUGCGGUGGGUACGGGCAGACUAGAGUGAUGUAGGGGAGACUGGAAUUCCUGGUGUAGCGGUGAAAUGCGCAGAUAUCAGGAGGAACACCGAUGGCGAAGGCAGGUCUCUGGGCAUUAACUGACGCUGAGGAGCGAAAGCAUGGGGAGCGAACAGG